CCUACGGGAGGCAGCAGUGGGGAAUAUUGGGCAAUGGGCGCAAGCCUGACCCAGCAACGCCGCGUGAAGGAAGAAGGCUUUCGGGUUGUAAACUUCUUUUAAGAGGGAAGAGCAGAAGACGGUACCUCUUGAAUAAGCCACGGCUAACUACGUGCCAGCAGCCGCGGUAAUACGUAGGUGGCAAGCGUUGUCCGGAUUUACUGGGGGUAAAGGGCGUGCAGCCGGGAAGACAAGUCAGAUGUGAAAUCCCGCGGCUCAACCGCGGAACUGCAUUUGAAACUGUUUUUCUUGAGUACCGGAGAGGUCAUCGGAAUUCCGUGUGUAGCGGUGAAAUGCGUAGAUAUAAGGAAGAACACCAGUGGCGAAGGCGGAUGACUGGACGGCAACUGACGGUGAGGCGCGAAAGCGUGGGGAGCAAACAGGAUUAGAUACCCCAGUAGUC
RNAcentral lists this ribosomal RNA (442 nucleotides) under uncultured bacterium. Its description in RNAcentral is "partial 16S ribosomal RNA". It matches the Rfam family "Bacterial small subunit ribosomal RNA", at positions 338 to 795 of the family's 1533-position model. The record is from RNAcentral.